RNAcentral lists this long non-coding RNA (870 nucleotides) under Ananas comosus (pineapple). Its description in RNAcentral is "long non-coding RNA (ACOM_LNC028421)". Lineage: Eukaryota; Viridiplantae; Streptophyta; Magnoliopsida; Poales; Bromeliaceae. The record is from RNAcentral.
AAACUUCAAAAACCACCCCUGUGGUUUCGUACUUUCUCACUUUAGUACCCUGUGGUUUAAAACGUAUCAAUUUGCCCCCCUGUGGUUUCGUUUUUCUCUUUUUGUUAUCAAUUUUAUUAUUAUUUUUUUCUUAAAUCAGUGACAAAGUUAAAAUUAAAGGAUACUAAAGUGAAUAUUCGAUAAAUAUAGAUGGUUAUCUGAAGUUUUUUGUAUAUAAUUUAACGAAAUAUUAACGAAAAAGCUUCCGAAAAGAUAAAAAUGAAACCACAGGGGGGCAAAUUGAUACAUUUUAAACCACAGGGUACUAAAGUGAGAAUGCACGAAACCACAGGGGGGUUUUUGAAGUUUUCCCUUCUUUUUGUCCCGUUAGUAUUUUUUUUCUUUUUUUUUUCUUUUUUUUUUUUUCUAAUUAACGUUCUUUACUUCUUUUUCGACUUUGGUCGGAUAAAAAUAAAAUAAAGGGUUAAUUUCACUUAGGCCCCUACUAAUACAGUAAAUUGCAAACAUAUCCCUAUAAAAUUUAAUUUUUAUAUAUUGUUUUUGUAAAAAUUCGGAUAUUUUCAAAUAUAUCCCUGCCGUUAGAAACUAUUAAAAAAAAUUAGUUAAUCAUAGAUAACAUAUUUAACCCUAGUUAGUUAAUGAGGUGAAUUAAUUUUUUACUCAUUUUUAAUUAACAGUUGAAAUUUUUGGAGGGACAUAUUUGUGAUGAUAAAAAGGUUAUUUCACUAAUAAAAUAAAUAGUAUUUUAACGGUAACAAAUCAGAGAGAUAUAUUAGAAAAUAUUAGAAUUUUUUAUCGUCAUAUAUCAAAGUUGAACGUUGUAGGGAUAUAUUUGUAAUUUACUAUGUUUGCAGGGACUUAUAUGAAAUU